UUCCGGUUGAUCCUGCCGGAGGUCACUGCUAUUGGGAUUCGGCUAAGCCAUGCAAGCGGAGGGCGCGGUCGAAAGAUCGUGGCCCCGCACACUGCUCAGUAACACGUAGUCAACCUACCCUUGGGACGGGGACAACCUCGGGAAACUGAGGCUAAUACCCGAUAGGUGAGGGACGCUGGGAUGCCUCCUCGCCCAAAGCUCCGGCGCCCAAGGAUGGGACUGCGGUCUAUCAGGCUGUUGGUGGUGUAACGGACCACCAAACCUACGACGGGUACGGGCGAUGGGAGUCGGAGCCCGGAGAUGGGAACUGAGACAAGGCCCCAGGCCCUACGGGGCGCAGCAGGCGCGAAAACUCCGCAAUGCGCGCAAGCGUGACGGGGGGAUCCCAAGUGCCGUUGGUCUUUCGAUCGACGGUUUUUAGGAAGUCUAAGAAGCUUCCAGAAUAAGGGCUGGGCAAGACUGGUGCCAGCCGCCGCGGUAACACCAGCAGCCCAAGUGGUGGCCACGAUUAUUGGGCCUAAAGCGCUCGUAGCCGGAUCAGCAAGUCCCUUGUGAAAUCGGGCCGCCUAACGGUUCGGCGUGCAAGGGAUACUGUUGGUCUUGAGGCCGGGAGAGGUCGGAGGUACUCCUGGGGUAGCGGUGAAAUGCUCUAAUCCUAGGGGGACCACCAGUGGCGAAGGCGUCCGACCAGAACGGACCUGACGGUGAGGGGCGAAGGCUAGGGGAGCGAACGGGAUUAGAUACCCCGGUAGUCCUAGCUGUAAAGCAUGCGGGCCAGGUGUCUAGCGCUCCUUGAGGGCACUAGGUGCCGGAGGGAAGCCGUUAAGCCCGCCGCCUGGGAAGUACGGCCGCAAGGCUGAGACUUAAAGAAAUUGGCGGGGGAGCACCACAAGAGGUGGGACCUGCGGUUCAAUUGGAAUCAACGCCGGU
This 930-nucleotide ribosomal RNA is filed under the name uncultured archaeon. RNAcentral describes it as "bacterial SSU rRNA". It matches the Rfam family "Archaeal small subunit ribosomal RNA", at positions 1 to 922 of the family's 1478-position model. The record is from RNAcentral.